UACGGAGGAUCCGAGCGUUAUCCGGAUUUAUUGGGUUUAAAGGGAGCGUAGGUGGAUUGUUAAGUCAGUUGUGAAAGUUUGCGGCUCAACCGUAAAAUUGCAGUUGAAACUGGCAGUCUUGAGUACAGUAGAGGUGGGCGGAAUUCGUGGUGUAGCGGUGAAAUGCUUAGAUAUCACGAAGAACUCCGAUUGCGAAGGCAGCUCACUGGACUGCAGCUGACACUAAGGCUCGAAAGUGUGGGUAUCAAACAGG
Molecule: ribosomal RNA, 253 nt
Filed under: uncultured bacterium
Lineage: Bacteria
Description: partial 16S ribosomal RNA
Rfam family: Bacterial small subunit ribosomal RNA
Source: RNAcentral